GUGACCUCCUCUUCCCCAAAUCCCGUAGCUGCUGGCCUCUCAUCAGAAGUUAGAAGUUGAACCUCUCUGCCCCAAGGGCUCCUCCACCAGCAGUGCCGCCGGCCUCCUCCACCACCAUAGGCCCGCCUCCCCAGCCAUCACCUCUGGCUGUUUGCCAACGGACUCGUCGGCCCUGCCCCCAACUACCAGAUCUGCCGACCUCACCUCCAGCCCAGACCCUAGCCCCGCCGUCCUCAUCCACCAGGUUCUUGUUUGGAUUUCUCGUUUCUUUCUUCCCCCUCUCAACUCACCCCCAAAGAAUUGCUUCAGAUCUGAUAUGCAUGAUUGUGCACGGUUUGUUGCCUAGGCUUUUGGGGUGACCACCAGGAAAUUGGUUGCUCCUGGCGUAUGCAAGAUGAUGGAUCUGCAACAUUCAUGGUCUCU
Molecule: long non-coding RNA, 423 nt
Filed under: Sorghum bicolor (sorghum)
Lineage: Eukaryota; Viridiplantae; Streptophyta; Magnoliopsida; Poales; Poaceae
Description: long non-coding RNA (SBIC_LNC014663)
Source: RNAcentral